RNAcentral lists this ribosomal RNA (643 nucleotides) under uncultured marine bacterium. Its description in RNAcentral is "bacterial SSU rRNA". It matches the Rfam family "Bacterial small subunit ribosomal RNA", at positions 8 to 632 of the family's 1533-position model. The record is from RNAcentral.
AGAGUUUGAUCCUGGCUCAGGAUGAACGCUGGCGGCGUGCCUAAUACAUGCAAGUCGAGCGAACUGAUUAGAAGCUUGCUUCUAUGACGUUAGCGGCGGACGGGUGAGUAACACGUGGGCAACCUGCCUGUAAGACUGGGAUAACUUCGGGAAACCGAAGCUAAUACCGGAUAGGAUCUUCUCCUUCAUGGGAGAUGAUUGAAAGAUGGUUUCGGCUAUCACUUACAGAUGGGCCCGCGGUGCAUUAGCUAGUUGGUGAGGUAACGGCUCACCAAGGCAACGAUGCAUAGCCGACCUGAGAGGGUGAUCGGCCACACUGGGACUGAGACACGGCCCAGACUCCUACGGGAGGCAGCAGUAGGGAAUCUUCCGCAAUGGACGAAAGUCUGACGGAGCAACGCCGCGUGAGUGAUGAAGGCUUUCGGGUCGUAAAACUCUGUUGUUAGGGAAGAACAAGUAUGAGAGUAACUGCUCGUACCUUGACGGUACCUAACCAGAAAGCCACGGCUAACUACGUGCCAGCAGCCGCGGUAAUACGUAGGUGGCAAGCGUUAUCCGGAAUUAUUGGGCGUAAAGCGCGCGCAGGCGGUUUCUUAAGUCUGAUGUGAAAGCCCACGGCUCAACCGUGGAGGGUCAUUGGAAA